RNAcentral lists this ribosomal RNA (433 nucleotides) under uncultured bacterium. Its description in RNAcentral is "partial 16S ribosomal RNA". It matches the Rfam family "Bacterial small subunit ribosomal RNA", at positions 29 to 507 of the family's 1533-position model. The record is from RNAcentral.
AACGAACGCUGGCGGCAUGCCUAACACAUGCAAGUCGAACGAGACCUUCGGGUCUAGUGGCGCACGGGUGCGUAACGCGUGGGAACCUGCCCUUAGGUUCGGAAUAACUCCCCGAAAGGGGUGCUAAUACCGGAUAAUGUCUUCGGACCAAAGAUUUAUCGCCUUUGGAUGGGCCCGCGUUGGAUUAGCUAGUUGGUAGGGUAAAAGCCUACCAAGGCGACGAUCCAUAGCUGGUCUGAGAGGAUGAUCAGCCACACUGGGACUGAGACACGGCCCAGACUCCUACGGGAGGCAGCAGUGGGGAAUAUUGGACGAUGGGCGAAAGCCUGAUCCGGCAAUGCCGCGUGAGUGAUGAAGGCCUUAGGGUUGUAAAGCUCUUUUACCCGGGAUGAUAAUGACAGUACCGGGAGAAUAAGCUCCGGCUAACUCCGUG